RNAcentral lists this ribosomal RNA (464 nucleotides) under Vreelandella stevensii. Its description in RNAcentral is "partial 16S ribosomal RNA". It matches the Rfam family "Bacterial small subunit ribosomal RNA", at positions 338 to 795 of the family's 1533-position model. The record is from RNAcentral. Lineage: Bacteria; Pseudomonadati; Pseudomonadota; Gammaproteobacteria; Oceanospirillales; Halomonadaceae.
CCUACGGGCGGCUGCAGUGGGGAAUAUUGGACAAUGGGCGAAAGCCUGAUCCAGCCAUGUCGCGUGUGUGAAGAAGGCCUUCGGGUUGUAAAGCACUUUCAGUGGGGAAGAAAGCCUUGGGGCUAAUACCCUCGAGGAAGGACAUCACCCACAGAAGAAGCACCGGCUAACUCCGUGCCAGCAGCCGCGGUAAUACGGAGGGUGCGAGCGUUAAUCGGAAUUACUGGGCGUAAAGCGCGCGUAGGCGGUCUGAUAAGCCGGUUGUGAAAGCCCCGGGCUCAACCUGGGAACGGCAUCCGGAACUGUCAGGCUAGAGUGCAGGAGAGGAAGGUAGAAUUCCCGGUGUAGCGGUGAAAUGCGUAGAGAUCGGGAGGAAUACCAGUGGCGAAGGCGGCCUUCUGGACUGACACUGACGCUGAGGUGCGAAAGCGUGGGUAGCAAACAGGAUUAGAUACCUGGUAGUC